This 2932-nucleotide ribosomal RNA is filed under the name Escherichia albertii. RNAcentral's name for it is "23S ribosomal RNA". It matches the Rfam family "Bacterial large subunit ribosomal RNA". Lineage: Bacteria; Pseudomonadati; Pseudomonadota; Gammaproteobacteria; Enterobacterales; Enterobacteriaceae. The record is from RNAcentral.
GGGUUGUGAGGUUAAGCGACUAAGCGUACACGGUGGAUGCCCUGGCAGUCAGAGGCGAUGAAGGACGUGCUAAUCUGCGAUAAGCGUCGGUAAGGUGAUAUGAACCGUUAUAACCGGCGAUUUCCGAAUGGGGAAACCCAGUGUGUUUCGACACACUAUCAUUAACUGAAUCCAUAGGUUAAUGAGGCGAACCGGGGGAACUGAAACAUCUAAGUACCCCGAGGAAAAGAAAUCAACCGAGAUUCCCCCAGUAGCGGCGAGCGAACGGGGAGCAGCCCAGAGUCUGAAUCAGUGUGUGUGUUAGUGGAAGUGUCUGGAAAGGCGCGCGAUACAGGGUGACAGCCCCGUACACAAAAAUGCACAUGCUGUGAGCUCGAUGAGUAGGGCGGGACACGUGGUAUCCUGUCUGAAUAUGGGGGGACCAUCCUCCAAGGCUAAAUACUCCUGACUGACCGAUAGUGAACCAGUACCGUGAGGGAAAGGCGAAAAGAACCCCGGCGAGGGGAGUGAAAAAGAACCUGAAACCGUGUACGUACAAGCAGUGGGAGCCCUGAUUUAUCAGGGUGACUGCGUACCUUUUGUAUAAUGGGUCAGCGACUUAUAUUCUGUAGCAAGGUUAACCGAAUAGGGGAGCCGGAGGGAAACCGAGUCUUAACUGGGCGUUAAGUUGCAGGGUAUAGACCCGAAACCCGGUGAUCUAGCCAUGGGCAGGUUGAAGGUUGGGUAACACUAACUGGAGGACCGAACCGACUAAUGUUGAAAAAUUAGCGGAUGACUUGUGGCUGGGGGUGAAAGGCCAAUCAAACCGGGAGAUAGCUGGUUCUCCCCGAAAGCUAUUUAGGUAGCGCCUCGUGAAUUCAUCUCCGGGGGUAGAGCACUGUUUCGGCAAGGGGGUCAUCCCGACUUACCAACCCGAUGCAAACUGCGAAUACCGGAGAAUGUUAUCACGGGAGACACACGGCGGGUGCUAACGUCCGUCGUGAAGAGGGAAACAACCCAGACCGCCAGCUAAGGUCCCAAAGUCAUGGUUAAGUGGGAAACGAUGUGGGAAGGCCCAGACAGCCAGGAUGUUGGCUUAGAAGCAGCCAUCAUUUAAAGAAAGCGUAAUAGCUCACUGGUCGAGUCGGCCUGCGCGGAAGAUGUAACGGGGCUAAACCAUGCACCGAAGCUGCGGCAGCGACACUGUGUGUUGUUGGGUAGGGGAGCGUUCUGUAAGCCUGUGAAGGUGUGCUGUGAGGCAUGCUGGAGGUAUCAGAAGUGCGAAUGCUGACAUAAGUAACGAUAAAGCGGGUGAAAAGCCCGCUCGCCGGAAGACCAAGGGUUCCUGUCCAACGUUAAUCGGGGCAGGGUGAGUCGACCCCUAAGGCGAGGCCGAAAGGCGUAGUCGAUGGGAAACAGGUUAAUAUUCCUGUACUUGGUGUUACUGCGAAGGGGGGACGGAGAAGGCUAUGUUGGCCGGGCGACGGUUGUCCCGGUUUAAGCGUGUAGGCUGGUUUUCCAGGCAAAUCCGGAGAAUCAAGGCUGAGGCGUGAUGACGAGGCACUACGGUGCUGAAGCAACAAAUGCCCUGCUUCCAGGAAAAGCCUCUAAGCAUCAGGUAACAUCAAAUCGUACCCCAAACCGACACAGGUGGUCAGGUAGAGAAUACCAAGGCGCUUGAGAGAACUCGGGUGAAGGAACUAGGCAAAAUGGUGCCGUAACUUCGGGAGAAGGCACGCUGAUAUGUAGGUGAAGCGACUUGCUCGUGGAGCUGAAAUCAGUCGAAGAUACCAGCUGGCUGCAACUGUUUAUUAAAAACACAGCACUGUGCAAACACGAAAGUGGACGUAUACGGUGUGACGCCUGCCCGGUGCCGGAAGGUUAAUUGAUGGGGUCAGCGCAAGCGAAGCUCUUGAUCGAAGCCCCGGUAAACGGCGGCCGUAACUAUAACGGUCCUAAGGUAGCGAAAUUCCUUGUCGGGUAAGUUCCGACCUGCACGAAUGGCGUAAUGAUGGCCAGGCUGUCUCCACCCGAGACUCAGUGAAAUUGAACUCGCUGUGAAGAUGCAGUGUACCCGCGGCAAGACGGAAAGACCCCGUGAACCUUUACUAUAGCUUGACACUGAACACUGGUCCUUGAUGUGUAGGAUAGGUGGGAGGCUUUGAAGUGUGGACGCCAGUCUGCAUGGAGCCGUCCUUGAAAUACCACCCUUUAAUGGCUGGUGUUCUAACGUUGGCCCCUUACCGGGGUUGCGGACAGUGUCUGGUGGGUAGUUUGACUGGGGCGGUCUCCUCCUAAAGAGUAACGGAGGAGCACGAAGGUUGGCUAAUCCUGGUCGGACAUCAGGAGGUUAGUGCAAUGGCAUAAGCCAGCUUGACUGCGAGCGUGACGGCGCGAGCAGGUGCGAAAGCAGGUCAUAGUGAUCCGGUGGUUCUGAAUGGAAGGGCCAUCGCUCAACGGAUAAAAGGUACUCCGGGGAUAACAGGCUGAUACCGCCCAAGAGUUCAUAUCGACGGCGGUGUUUGGCACCUCGAUGUCGGCUCAUCACAUCCUGGGGCUGAAGUAGGUCCCAAGGGUAUGGCUGUUCGCCAUUUAAAGUGGUACGCGAGCUGGGUUUAGAACGUCGUGAGACAGUUCGGUCCCUAUCUGCCGUGGGCGCUGGAGAACUGAGGGGGGCUGCUCCUAGUACGAGAGGACCGGAGUGGACGCAUCACUGGUGUUCGGGUUGUCAUGCCAAUGGCACUGCCCGGUAGCUAAAUGCGGAAGAGAUAAGUGCUGAAAGCAUCUAAGCACGAAACUUGCCCCGAGAUGAGUUCUCCCUGAGACCUGGAGUCUCCUGAAGGAACGUUGAAGACGACGACGUUGAUAGGCCGGGUGUGUAAGCGCAGCGAUGCGUUGAGCUAACCGGUACUAAUGAACCGUGAGGCUUAACCUUACAACGCCGAAGGUGUUU